UAGAAAGUAGUCUGAGUUGCUAGUCUCCCAGAAGGGAGGUGAUGCCUUGUGACAGUAUUUGAAGCACUCAUGAUCAUGCUUACUUUUGGUUUGCUUAUCGUAGCGCUACUGUCCGAGAAACGAAAAUAGACCGCCCCCUGGUCAAGGAAUGCGGUCUAUUUCGGUCGUAACACCUAAUUAAAGCCUACUGCCCUUAAAAGCAGCUGUUGCAGGGGGAGUCGUGUUAGCGCACGGCUCC
Molecule: unclassified non-coding RNA, 238 nt
Filed under: Paenibacillus algorifonticola
Lineage: Bacteria; Bacillati; Bacillota; Bacilli; Caryophanales; Paenibacillaceae
Description: BsrG
Rfam family: BsrG
About the family: bsrE, bsrG and bsrH pair through intermolecular interactions with antisense sRNAs. SR4 interaction with the 3'UTR of bsrG RNA promotes bsrG degradation and inhibits its translation.
Source: RNAcentral